GUGGCGAACGGGUGAGUAACACGUGAGCAACCUGCCCCUGACUCUGGGAUAAGCGCUGGAAACGGCGUCUAAUACUGGAUACGAGACGUGACCGCAUGGUCAACGUUUGGAAAGAUUUUUCGGUUGGGGAUGGGCUCGCGGCCUAUCAGCUUGUUGGUGAGGUAAUGGCUCACCAAGGCGUCGACGGGUAGCCGGCCUGAGAGGGUGACCGGCCACACUGGGACUGAGACACGGCCCAGACUCCUACGGGAGGCAGCAGUGGGGAAUAUUGCACAAUGGGCGGAAGCCUGAUGCAGCAACGCCGCGUGAGGGAUGACGGCCUUCGGGUUGUAAACCUCUUUUAGCAGGGAAGAAGCGAAAGUGACGGUACCUGCAGAAAAAGCGCCGGCUAACUACGUGCCAGCAGCCGCGGUAAUACGUAGGGCGCAAGCGUUAUCCGGAAUUAUUGGGCGUAAAGAGCUCGUAGGCGGUUUGUCGCGUCUGCUGUGAAAUCUGGGGGCUCAACCCCCAGCCUGCAGUGGGUACGGGCAGACUAGAGUGCGGUAGGGGAGAUUGGAAUUCCUGGUGUAGCGGUGGAAUGCGCAGAUAUCAGGAGGAACACCGAUGGCGAAGGCAGAUCUCUGGGCCGUAACUGACGCUGAGGAGCGAAAGGGUGGGGAGCAAACAGGCUUAGAUACCCUGGUAGUCCACCCCGUAAACGUUGGGAACUAGUUGUGGGGUCCAUUCCACGGAUUCCGUGACGCAGCUAACGCAUUAAGUUCCCCGCCUGGGGAGUACGGCCGCAAGGCUAAAACUCAAAGGAAUUGACGGGGACCCGCACAAGCGGCGGAGCAUGCGGAUUAAUUCGAUGCAACGCGAAGAACCUUACCAAGGCUUGACAUAUACGAGAACGGGCCAGAAAUGGUCAACUCUUUGGACACUCGUAAACAGGUGGUGCAUGGUUGUCGUCAGCUCGUGUCGUGAGAUGUUGGGUUAAGUCCCGCAACGAGCGCAACCCUCGUUCUAUGUUGCCAGCACGUAAUGGUGGGAACUCAUGGGAUACUGCCGGGGUCAACUCGGAGGAAGGUGGGGAUGACGUCAAAUCAUCAUGCCCCUUAUGUCUUGGGCUUCACGCAUGCUACAAUGGCCGGUACAAAGGGCUGCAAUACCGCGAGGUGGAGCGAAUCCCAAAAAGCCGGUCCCAGUUCGGAUUGAGGUCUGCAACUCGACCUCAUGAAGUCGGAGUCGCUAGUAAUCGCAGAUCAGCAACGCUGCGGUGAAUACGUUCCCGGGUCUUGUACACACCGCCCGUCAAGUCAUGAAAGUCGGUAAC
This 1312-nucleotide ribosomal RNA is filed under the name Microbacterium sp. RNAcentral's name for it is "bacterial SSU rRNA". It matches the Rfam family "Bacterial small subunit ribosomal RNA", at positions 95 to 1418 of the family's 1533-position model. The record is from RNAcentral. Lineage: Bacteria; Bacillati; Actinomycetota; Actinomycetes; Micrococcales; Microbacteriaceae.